RNAcentral lists this ribosomal RNA (463 nucleotides) under uncultured bacterium. RNAcentral describes it as "partial 16S ribosomal RNA". It matches the Rfam family "Bacterial small subunit ribosomal RNA", at positions 28 to 507 of the family's 1533-position model. The record is from RNAcentral.
GACGAACGCUGGCGGCGCGCCUAACACAUGCAAGUCGAACGGUGAAGAGGAGCUUGCUCCUCGGAACAGUGGCGGACGGGUGAGUAACACGUGAGCAACCUGGCUCUAAGAGGGGGACAACAGUUGGAAACGACUGCUAAUACCGCAUGACGUAUCGGGAUGGCAUCUUCCUGAUACCAAAGAUUUUAUCGCUUAGAGAUGGGCUCGCGUCUGAUUAGAUAGUUGGCGGGGUAACGGCCCACCAAGUCGACGAUCAGUAGCCGGACUGAGAGGUUGAACGGCCACAUUGGGACUGAGACACGGCCCAGACUCCUACGGGAGGCAGCAGUGGGGGAUAUUGGACAAUGGGGGCAACCCUGAUCCAGCGACGCCGCGUGAGGGAAGAAGGUUUUCGGAUUGUAAACCUCUGUUGACGGGGAAAAAAAUGAUGGUAUCCGUUUAGAAAGCCACGGCUAACUACGUG